CCUUCACCUUGGUGGAGCUUGGAUUUGAGGCUGCUGCUGCCCGCUGCACUCACAAGUGUAGGUAGUGUGCUAUAAAGGAGCAAGUCUUCCACUAACACCGCAAGGGUCUCUAGCCCAAUAAGUAGAGUUUGAUAGUAAUUCUUACUACAAGU
Molecule: small nucleolar RNA, 152 nt
Organism: Hyaena hyaena (striped hyena)
Lineage: Eukaryota; Metazoa; Chordata; Mammalia; Carnivora; Hyaenidae
Source: RefSeq, a predicted model, not a curated record